ACCUCCUUUUCAGCAACGCUGAAAAGAAGCACCCUCUGGCCUCUGCCAUUGAAUUAAGGCCUGCUAGGUUGUGCAUGUAUUGUUGCUAGACUCACUCCGUUAGACAUUUGGUGUGCUUCACUGCAUCUCUCCAGACCAGAAACAUAGCCAUCUUCUUAGCCCAUUUGGAAAUGGAGUUUGGGCCUGCUGCAUUCCUGAGAUGACAGGUUGUUCUGAUUAGGCACUUCCUUGGCGCCCUCAGAUACUUCUUAAAGAAUUGUCUUUCCUUCAGGUCCCUGAAGAUCACCUUAAGCUUUUCUGAAGUUUAAGAUAAGAUCCAAAUGGGGACAAGUUUGGAAAACCUGAUUCUCUCCUUCAGCUCACCAGUGUCUGGAAGCUUCAUCUGUAUCUGAAAAUACAGCAGGUCCUACAUUACAUCUGUGACCCAGGGACAUCACAUGGGAGUAAUUUGGAAUGUGUGAGUUAUUCUAAAGCAUCUUAACUUGAGGUCUUAUAUUGCAUUUAUAUCUAUUUACCUCUUAUUCUGUCAGUUAUAUGCCAUCCUUCCUCAAAACGAGCACAGGGUGGCAUACAGAUUAGUCUACUUUACCCUUAUACAAAUUAUGUGCAGUAAAACAGGCCAGUACCUGUAUUUAACCUAAUUGUAAUGGGGUCAUCUAAAAUUUGAUUUGAGUAAAUAGUGGUAACCAAACCAGGAUGUCUUACCCACACACUGCAUCCAGAAGACUACAGCAGCUUAAAGCCAAGGCUACAAGAAAUCCUAGCUCAGAAGUCAAUACAGCUUCCUUUUAACCAAAGGCCCCUCCUACACAAAGCACCAUGAUCUCAAACUGGUGAACCCUGGAGUAGCUUGAAGGUUUACGGAGUGCCUCAAGGAAGCAAACCUAUGAAAGACUGCUUGUGCAUUACUACCAAUCUUCCUAUGCAAUGCAUAACUUCAGCUGUGUGUUCAGGUACACUUAUUUUACAUUAUAAUUUACACCCAACAUGACUGAUACUCCCCUUAGGGGAUGGGACCAAUCUGGGAGGAGCACCUGCAUGUAGGUUCCAAGGUCCCUCCCUGGCAUCUCCAAGACAGGGCUGAGAGACUCCUGCCUGCAACCUUAGAGAAGCCACUGCAGGUCUGGGUAGACAAUACUGUGCUAGAUGAACCAAUGAUCUGACUCAGUUUAAGGUAGCUUCCUAUGUUCAGCCCCUCAAACUGAAGAUACGUCUUAGAACAUGCCCAAGAAUCCUUUGCAAAGAGCAUCCAUCAUAGGGGCCUCUUGUAACAAGGUUCUUUGAAAGUUGAAAUAAAAAUAAUGAGUUGGAAAAUAAAGGUCAAGCAAAUACUUUACUUGGCCCAGACCAAUAUUUCAUCCUAAUCUUAGCUUCUCAAAUGCCACAUGCUGAUGAAACGUCAGCCCAAAAUAUGCUGUUUUCAAAUCCAUGCAGAUUUUAUUAAGAGAUUUCCUGGGUUUAAUCCAACACAGCACCUUCUAACAGCCUAGUACUGUAGCCAUGGCCAAAGCCAAAAAAAAUACUGUUCUUCAGGCAAGCUCAUGCCCAUUAAAAAGAAUGAUUUUUUUUAGUAUUUAAAAGCUGUAAAAUUAAUGUUGGCCUCUGCAGUAUUAAGGCAAUCAAACUAACUUUAAGGCUAGACUUUACAGAGGUGAUCUAUUAUGUAAACAGCCACCAUUUGCAGUAAUGGCAGCAGCAUGAAGCACACUCCCAGGGCAAAUAAGAGCAAUUAUCUUUUGAAGAAAUUGGUGUGGUUAAAAAUGAAUUGAUCCUUACCCAUGUAUGGGCAGCCAAAACAGAAAUCCUUAAUUUCACAGUUGUGCCUCAAAGCAAAUAUGAAUUCUACUGCAAAGGCAUAUGGGAUUCAUAACCAGUUAUUUUGGAUUACCCUUCUGGGUAGUAAAAAAGCUCCAUUUAGGUUAUAAACAAAUGUUUUGUUAUACCAGUCAGUUAGUACGCAUACUAGUUCAGUAAAUACACAAGUUAGAAUCUGAUUUACAU
Long non-coding RNA from Hemicordylus capensis (graceful crag lizard), 2001 nucleotides. RefSeq lists it as uncharacterized. The record is from RefSeq and is a predicted model, not a curated record. NCBI's taxonomy places the organism in Eukaryota, Metazoa, Chordata, Lepidosauria, Squamata, Cordylidae. The transcript is spliced from 3 exons.